AGGAUUCCCCUAGUAACUGCGAGUGAAGCGGGAAAAGCUCAAAUUUGAAAUCUGGCAGUCUUUUUUUUCUUCUUUGGCUGUCCGAGUUGUAAUCUAGAGAAGUGCUUACCUGCGCUGGACCAUGUAUAAGUCUCCUGGAAUGGAGCGUCACAGAGGGUGAGAAUCCCGUCUUUGACAUGGACUGCCAGUGUGUUGUGGUGUGCUCUCAAAGAGUCGAGUUGUUUGGGAAUGCAGCUCUAAAUGGGUGGUAAACUCCAUCUAAAGCUAAAUAUUGGCGAGAGACCGAUAGUGAACAAGUACCGUGAGGGAAAGAUGAAAAGGACUUUGGAAAGAGAGUUAAACAGUAUGUGAAAUUGUUGAAAGGGAAACGCUUGAAGUCAGUUAUGUUGGCUAGGGAUCAACCUAGCUAAUUUUUUUGCUGGGUGAAUUUCCUAGUCUGACAGGCCAACAUCAGUCUUGACUGCUGGAAAAGAGCAGAGGGAAUGUGGCACCUUUGGGUGUGUUAUAGCCCUUUGUCAUAUGUGGCAGUUGGGACUGAGGGAUGCAGCAUGCCGUGAGGCUGGGUUUUUAACCACGUUCAUGCUUAGGAUGUUGGCUUUUAAUGGCUUCAAUCGACCCGUCUUGAAACACGGACCAAGGAGUCUAACAUGCCUGCGAGUGUUUGGGUGGGGAAAACCCUUGUGCACAAUGAAAGUGAAAGUUGAGAUCCCUGUCAUGGGGAGCAUCGACGCCCGGACCUGAGCUUUUAGCGACGGAUCCGCGGUAGAGCAUGCAUGUUGGGACCCGAAAGAUGGUGAACUAUGCCUGAAUAGGGCAAAGCCAGAGGAAACUCUGGUGGAGGCUCGUAGCGAUUCUGACGUGCAAAUCGAUCGUCAAAUUUGGGUAUAGGGGCGAAAGACUAAUCGAACCAUCUAGUAGCUGGUUCCUGCCGAAGUUUCCCUCAGGAUAGCAGAAGCUUAUUAUCAGAUUUAUGUGGUAAAGCGAAUGAUUAGAGGCCUUGGGGUUGAAACAACCUUAACCUAUUCUCAAACUUUAAAUAUGUAAGAACGAGUUGUCACUUGACUGGACUGCUCG
RNAcentral lists this ribosomal RNA (1074 nucleotides) under Amanita simulans. RNAcentral's name for it is "partial large subunit ribosomal RNA". It matches the Rfam family "Eukaryotic large subunit ribosomal RNA", at positions 71 to 1106 of the family's 3401-position model. Lineage: Eukaryota; Fungi; Basidiomycota; Agaricomycetes; Agaricales; Amanitaceae. The record is from RNAcentral.